This 240-nucleotide ribosomal RNA is filed under the name uncultured Glomeromycotina. RNAcentral describes it as "partial small subunit ribosomal RNA". The stretch from base 47 to 240 matches the Rfam family "Eukaryotic small subunit ribosomal RNA", at positions 692 to 886 of the family's 1831-position model. The record is from RNAcentral. Lineage: Eukaryota; Fungi; Glomeromycota.
GAAUUUGUCGGUUGGUCGGGCUUCACUGUCCGCACUGACCUGAUGGAUUCCUACCUUCUGAAUAACCAGCAUGCUAUUAAUUUAGUGCGUUGGGGAAGCAGAGCUAUUACCUUGAAAAAAUUAGAGUGCUUAAAGCAGGCUUGUGCUUGAAUAGAUUAGCAUGGAAUAAUAAAAUAGGACGGCAUGGUUCUAUUUUGUUGGUUUCUAGGAUCACCGUAAUGAUUAAUAGGGAUAGUUGGG